Molecule: ribosomal RNA, 440 nt
Filed under: uncultured bacterium
Lineage: Bacteria
Description: partial 16S ribosomal RNA
Rfam family: Bacterial small subunit ribosomal RNA
Source: RNAcentral
CCUACGGGAGGCAGCAGUGGGGAAUAUUGCUCAAUGGGGGAAACCCUGAUGCAGCAACGCCGCGUGAGUGAUGACGGCCCUAGGGUUGUAAAGCUCUGUCUUCAGGGACGCUAACGACCGUACCUGAGGAGGAAGCCACGGCUAACUACGUGCCAGCAGCCGCGGUAAUCCGUAGGUGGCGCGCGUUGUCCGGAUUUACUGGGCGUAAAGGGAGCGUAGGCGGAGUUUUAAGUGAGAUGUGAAAUACUCGGGCUCAACUUGAGUGCUGCAUUUCAAACUGGAGGUCUAGAGUGCAGGAGAGGAGAAUGGAAUGCCUGGUGUAGCGGUGAAAUGCGUAGAGAUUAGGAAGAACACCAGUGGCGAAGGCGGUUCUCUGGACUGUAACUGACGCUGAGGCACGAAAGCGUGGGGAGCAAACAGGAUUAGAUACCCUAGUAGUC